Molecule: long non-coding RNA, 1777 nt
Organism: Bos taurus (domestic cattle)
Lineage: Eukaryota; Metazoa; Chordata; Mammalia; Artiodactyla; Bovidae
Source: Ensembl
GGGAGCUCUACUUGGAAAGGAAGUCUGAAUUAGUCUCAUGGAUUUAAUGGCGCUAACUUAACAUUUUUCAAAUGGAUUUUGUAGUAGAAUCCAAUUAUUAGAGGAAGUCACUUGGUUGCAAAGCCAUAUACUAGAGAAUAGUCAAACACCACGUGCUAGUUUUGGAAUGUGCAUUUCCCAAGUGAAUAGAAAUUACUUCACCAAAAAGAUUUUACACAAUUCAUGAUACUUAGAGAAAUAUGAUUGUAUCAUUGGAGAAAAAAGCUCACCUCUGUAAAUGCUACAUUUCACAUUCACUAGUAAAUCAGUGUAAUUCCUUAAUUAUUUGGGGGGAUACAAAAGAAUAAUCUGUCAAUAGAAUAGAACUGCUUAUUCCUAACUGUAUUUAGGAAUGAAUACAUACUAUAAUUCAAGAGACUUGGGUUCAAUCCCUGGGUAGGGAAGAUCCCCUAGAGGGGAGCAUGGCAACCCACUCCAGUAUUUUUGCCUGGAGAAUCCCAUGGAAAGAGGAGCCUGGUGGGCUACAGUCCAUGGGGUUGCAAAGAGUCAGACAUGACUGAAGUGAUUUCGCAUGCAUGCAUGAUUUAAGGUAUUACUGAAUUUUGAAGAACUGCUCAAUAAAUUAGUAGUAUUAAUAAAAUUGUACUCUUUUUACAAUGCAUUUGCCUCAGCACACAUGCAGAGUUAAAAACAUAAAUUUAUUUUAAAAUACACCAAAUAACACAGAUUAGUUAUUAUGAUUUUAAAAGCCUAAUUUCCAAUAGCAUUAAAUCCAACACCAGUUAUAUGUUGUAUAUAACUAAAAUUUUGAAAGCCUUGCACACAAAAUGAGAGACUUAUUAAAAAAUGCCUUUUUUUUUCUUUUUGCCAAAAAAGGUUCUACAACUCAUUGCUAAUUAUUAUAUUCCUUUAGGGGUACUUUGAGGCGCUUUCAAAGACGUAUUUGUAGCAGUUACAUCUAAAUUAGAGCAGAACAUUGUGUCAGAUAUUUUGCUAUAUCACAAAAUGUUGUAGUACUGUAUUUUAUAAUAAAACCAAGUUAUCAAGUAUUCUGGUAUAUUACAUAUUAUUAUGCCAAAAAAAUCACUUUCUAGAACUCUGUUAUUCUGUACUUAAUAUUUCAAGAAAAUAAUGGGUAUUUCAGUCAGAGCAAGAAAGUAUAAUGCAAUACAUGACAUUCAAUUGAUCUUUAGUCACAAUCCAUUUAGGUAUUUGACAAAGAAACUAGCAAUCACAAGCUCGAAUGCAUACAUUCUCAAGGACAAAAUGGCAAACACUUAAUACACAAAGACAUGGUCACUGGGGCAAGUUAGCUGCUGCCUGGCUGAACAGGAUCAACUUGCCAAUCAAUGCUCAUCGGAUUUUAGCUUUUGUUCUUGGUUGUUCCUGGCGGGGGAAGUGCUACAGGUCAGUUGAUGUCGCCUCCCCUUCGUGUGGGGGAUUUGCUUACAGCCAGUGCAUGGUAUAAUGAAUUCUCUGGAAGCAGGGUUGAGUCAGAAGCUUAGAGAUGCACCUUACUGUCUUUAAAACUGCUGUUAUACAAUGUUCUGAACACUGUGAUCUUUCAAAUGUAUUUUCUGUAUUAGUUUUGUACUGUUAGAAAAUAAUAUGCCAUAAACUGGACUCUAUAGUGUUUAAAGCAAUGUUAUUUAUUGGCUUAUCACCCCCUGCCUGUUUAUGUACAGUCUACUUAAUAUAAAACCUGUGAUAAUCCUUUGCCUUAAAAAUAAAAUCUAAUGCUAAAUAUUGAGUGUGCUCUAACAUAAUUUUAAGCUAC